This 401-nucleotide ribosomal RNA is filed under the name uncultured bacterium. RNAcentral describes it as "bacterial SSU rRNA". It matches the Rfam family "Bacterial small subunit ribosomal RNA", at positions 355 to 773 of the family's 1533-position model. The record is from RNAcentral.
UGGGGAAUCUUGCGCAAUGGGCGAAAGCCUGACGCAGCCAUGCCGCGUGAAUGAUGAAGGUCUUAGGAUUGUAAAAUUCUUUCACCGGGGACAAUAAUGACGGUACCCGGAGAAGAAGCCCCGGCUAACUUCGUGCCAGCAGCCGCGGUAAUACGAAGGGGGCUAGCGUUGCUCGGAAUUACUGGGCGUAAAGGGGGCGUAGGCGGAUAGUUCAGUCAGAGGUGAGAGCCCAGGGCUCAACCUUGGAAUUGCCUUUGAUACUGGCUGUCUUGAGUAUGGGAGAGGUUAGCGGAACUCCGAGUGUAGAGGUGAAAUUCGUAGAUAUUCGGAAGAACACCAGUGGCGAAGGCGGCUAACUGGCCCAUUACUGACGCUGAGGCUCGAAAGCGUGGGGAGCAAAC